ACGUGACGCGCGGGGAGCCUGUGGAUGUGACGGAGGGUUCCGCUAACUAGCCCCCUGCUCAACAAAGAUGGCCGAUACCUCAUACUGCUUCACCUAGAAGCCACUGAUACAAAAUAGGACCCUAGAAAGUCCAGAGUAAAAUGGCAGCAACAGAGCCAUGGUGGUGUGUCAGAGCAGGCAUAGUUAGCAGAUACACUGGAUGGUGUACUGAACUUAUCAGUUACGCAAAAGUACUUUAGUGACCAGUUGGCAGUGGAUUGGGUUUGAGUAUUUCAAACUUCAUUUUAUUAUCCUGGGGCUUCCUGUAAUUUGCGCAAAUUUCUGAAGUGACAUGCAGCAUCUGGGAAAACCACACACUUGCGCAGCAUGUUUGGCAUUGCGAAGAAAAUCUUUGUUAUGAUCAUUUCAUCCCCAAAGUGUAAUUUAUAGAAAGUUAACGUCAGAGAAAUGUCAAAAGUUACGAUUGGUCAGGGUGGGGGUGUUCAAAACACAACCAAUAGCAUGAGUUUGGACAAAUGCUUCUCUCCCCAUAUUGCUGCAUAGAAAGUCUACAGAGAAAGUCUUAUGCAGCAGGACAAGGAGAGAAGCACUUUGCUGACAUGAGCCGGGAGUGCCUUGCUUGGCUAUCUGUGGAGGUCAGAUCCCGAUAAGUGACAAAUGAAAUUUUUGUGACAGGAAACAAACCAAAAAAGAAAACCACAUGGAGCAGUUCAUAACACCAGCAAUAUGAUUUAAAAUUAGCAUUUAUUGUAUCCUCUAGGUGCAAAUGGGAGUUUUCUAAUUCUAAUCUAUUCAUGUGGAUUGCACUACAUUGUGUUAUAGACUUCUGCAUCAAAUGAUGUAUAAAUAUCAUUUUACGAUUGUCUGUUAUUUCCUAGUGUGAAUUCCUGCUGCACUACAGGUACAACCAGUACUCAACCAUUGUGACAAGCUCCCGGUUUACACUGCCAUAUCAAUUUUACCACCCAAAUCACGUUUUCUGAAACAAAAACUUGGCACAUUGUGAAAAUCCCACCCAGCACUUUGCAAACUUGCAUAAGAGCUCAUAACGUAAAUUCCGUUUUUUUUUUUUUAAAUAAAAAGUAAAAAUUAAUUUAUGUGUUAAAUGUCUGGCCCAACAGACUUAUGUGUAUAAAUCUACAUCAUGUUUAUAUAUUUGCCAGAAUUAGCAAGACCAAAAUUAUGCUAUGCUGUAGUAACCCUCCCUGUCUGGUUAGGCUACUUUCACACUACCGCUGUGCCCUGUCGAGAAUGGCCAUUUAAAUUUUUAUUUAAAAAUAGCCAUUAUCUGGACGGGGCGCAACGAGUCCCGAUGGAUCCCAUUAUAGUCAAUGGGUCCGUCGAGCGCCAUUGUUUUGUAGCGGGAGAGAAAGACGGCGCAUGCAGUAUAUUCACUCCCCGGGUUCCCCGACGGCAGUCACACUAUCGUAUCACACAAGCAGUGUGAAAAGAAGCCUUAGAGGGGUGAUAACAGGAAAGAAAGAAAAAAAUACCUGGGUCCCUGGAGGCUAUAUAAGAGGACAGAUGACAGUAAACGUGGCCAUACACCACCAGUAGCUGUUGGCUGAAACAUACCCGAUUUUUUUUCUAAUCUUGCCAGUCUCAACAAAACUGCCAGAUAUGGAUGACUUGGCUCUUUUGUGUACUGGUACCUGAGAAGACUGGGCUACACUAUAAGACUAAGAUCUAAGCACUAGCAUUAUUUCAUUCAGUAUUCAUUUUUUUUUAAUGGUUAUUACCAUCAGGAAAUGUGGCAGUCCCAUUCUAAUAGGGGGAAACAGCAGUGCUUUAGUUAUAUAUUUCCUUCUAGAUCUGCACUUAUAAUGGCUGUUGCUAGUGCUUGUGUUUUAUCACUUGUAUGUUUACAGGGGCAAGUCCAGAUGCACCACAGUAAUCCCCAACACUAACCACAGACUUUAAGGCUAUGUUCAUAUUUCAGAACGUCCGCACAGAAAAUCUCCGUGUGGACAUUCCGGAGGCUGCAGGCACUAGGACCGCACAGGAAUGUGCUGUCUCAUAGACGGCUAUAUAUUCUGUAAGGAGUCCGCAGAAAAAAAUAAACCGGUUCAUUCUUUCUGCGGACAAGGAAACUGCCACAGCGCAGCAGAAUCCCAUUGAAUACGGACGUGUGAACAUGGCCUAAUGCUGCAUGUAACACCAUGCUUCGCCUUCCAAUCACACUGACAUUCCCAACUGCCUAGCUGUGCAUGAACUGCUUGUACUAUGACCCCAUUUCAUAUGAAAGGCCCCCACGGGGAAUUUCCCUCCAAAUCAAGUAAUCAGGGAACCACUACACAGUUUAAAAGCUAAGAGAUACUGCACUAGAUCAGCACUGCUGCCUCUCAGUUUUCAGAAUGGGUGAGGGUUCCUGAGGUUUAAAUGAUGAAACGUUCAUGUGCUCUGUUAUAAUUUUUAAAAACAAUGUCCGACAAAGAUGGACAAUUCUUAACCUAUAUAAUCAAAGAGUAAUAAUUUCUUUAAAGAAUUAAUAAUUUCUUUAAAGUUUAUCCAUUUACUAUGAAAUACAUUAUACUGUUUUUAAAAGGCCUGUAAUGGACUCCCUAAGCCAUUCACACUGUAUUUCCAUGCUUGUGAUCAGUAUAAGCAAAUACUGGAAAUAACCCACACAAAAAUACAAAGUGGAUCAAAAAAUUGUUUGAAAUAAAGGAACACAUCUCAUCAUUACACUUUCAUUCACACCCAACAUAUUCUCAUGGUUUUAGUCCCGAUUCAGUUCAGAAGGAAGAAAGAAAGGACACCUUUUAGAAUGCAUCAGGGUCUUGUGAUUCUUGAAAUGCCAGCAGUUUUUUUUUUGUUUUUUUUUAUUAUUGGAGGUAUUCACUGUCCCACAAGACUUGCAGAAUGCCACAGAUGCCUCCCUAAAUAGAGGAGCAAAUCUCUUGGAAAUUAUAUGCAACAAUAACUAGAGAAAAACAAUUACAAAAAAAAAUAAAAUCAAUAAGGCGUAGAAAGGAGGAUGAAAAAAAAAAAUAAAAAUACAAAGACCAGAGAUCCAAUAGUAAGAUAUCAGAAGGAAGAGAUAAAAGGAUACACCGACUGUCCGUUCUGUUGAUCUGAGUCGCUUCGCAUUGGAUUGGUCAUUGAGCAAGUCCCAUCAAUCCCUGCCCUACAAGCCGCUGCAUGCAGAAAUCUGGGGUAUAACUUUACAGGUUGGAGGUAUUUUGAGAAAGCUGAUAGGACUGAUGGCAAAGAAGAUCACCAAAAUAUGGCAUUAAAAAUAAUUCAUAUGAUCAGGAACAGUACCUGUCCUGCAGUCAUCAUCUCCUCUGUCAAUCCAUUAAAAAAAAAAAAAAAUGUAUAAAGACAAGUAAAAAUCUGAGAAGAACAGGGAGGGACAGCUGGGCUGGUGUUACAAAAAGCAUCAUACAAAAAGACACAUGCUACAUAAAAAAAAUA
Long non-coding RNA from Hyla sarda, 3417 nucleotides. RefSeq lists it as uncharacterized. NCBI's taxonomy places the organism in Eukaryota, Metazoa, Chordata, Amphibia, Anura, Hylidae. The transcript is spliced from 2 exons. The record is from RefSeq and is a predicted model, not a curated record.